CACUAGCUUCGAUACGGUCGGCAAUGACAGUGGAACAAACUGGGCUUUGCGGCCAGGAGGAGGAUGACAAUGGUGACUUCCACGGAGCUCUGCUCAAAAUGUCACAUGCCAGUACGCUGACCUCGUAUCCCUGUAGUACUGCGAAUCAGUACACUUAGUGAGCAGCUGCAGCUUGUCAUCCACGUCUCCUUGGAUGUUAAUGUGGUCUCAAGACCCUUCAAUCUUAACACUUGCUGUACUCACAAUACAUUCACGCCAGCAGUCAGCACAUUAGAGAGCAUGAAGGAUGUGUGACGGAGAAUUUAAAAAGCAAGGGAAAUCACAAUUGAAGUUACAGACUCAUCCUGAACUCAGCUCCCAGAUAGGUGGAUUCCCACAUCCAUACAAAACCUCAUUGACUACAAGGAAGUGCAGAGAUCUUUGUGCACAAGGUUCAUUGUGAACAUUUUUUUGGAAAAAUCACAGUUCAUUUACACCAUUUAUUAAUAAUACUGAACUAUCUGUUGUGAGCAAUAGUUACAGAAGAAUUUCUCUCCCUUUCCCCCAGAAUGUUUUUGUCUGUCUGCUAUAUUGUGAGUGCUUAAGGGCAAAAAAUUUAUUAAGAUUUGUUUUGCCAAAUGUUGAACAAAUUGUCUCAGCUUAACUAGUAAUAUUGA
This 656-nucleotide long non-coding RNA is filed under the name Crocodylus porosus (Australian saltwater crocodile). RNAcentral describes it as "lncRNA (ENSCPRG00005010283.1)". The record is from RNAcentral. Lineage: Eukaryota; Metazoa; Chordata; Crocodylia; Crocodylidae.